Molecule: non-coding RNA, 81 nt
Organism: Caenorhabditis elegans
Lineage: Eukaryota; Metazoa; Nematoda; Chromadorea; Rhabditida; Rhabditidae
Source: Ensembl
AAUUCACAGAAAGGGCGGCGUUAACAAGCCACACUUAUAAAAUGGGCGGCGCUUAGCAAGCCACGCCCACAAAAUGCACAA